CCUACGGGGGGCAGCAGUGGGGAAUAUUGGACAAUGGGCGCAAGCCUGAUCCAGCCAUGCCGCGUGUGUGAUGAAGGCCUUAGGGUUGUAAAGCACUUUCACCGGAGAAGAUAAUGACGGUAUCCGGAGAAGAAGCCCCGGCUAACUUCGUGCCAGCAGCCGCGGUAAUACGAAGGGGGCUAGCGUUGUUCGGAAUUACUGGGCGUAAAGCGCACGUAGGCGGAUAUUUAAGUCAGGGGUGAAAUCCCAGAGCUCAACUCUGGAACUGCCUUUGAUACUGGGUAUCUUGAGUAUGGAAGAGGUAAGUGGAAUUGCGAGUGUAGAGGUGAAAUUCGUAGAUAUUCGCAGGAACACCAGUGGCGAAGGCGGCUUACUGGUCCAUAACUGACGCUGAGGUGCGAAAGCGUGGGGAGCAAACAGGAUUAGAUACCC
This 432-nucleotide ribosomal RNA is filed under the name uncultured bacterium. Its description in RNAcentral is "bacterial SSU rRNA". It matches the Rfam family "Bacterial small subunit ribosomal RNA", at positions 338 to 787 of the family's 1533-position model. The record is from RNAcentral.